Molecule: long non-coding RNA, 905 nt
Filed under: Meleagris gallopavo (turkey)
Lineage: Eukaryota; Metazoa; Chordata; Aves; Galliformes; Phasianidae
Description: lncRNA (ENSMGAG00000019052.1)
Source: RNAcentral
AGUUUUCAGGUGGAUGGAAGAACCAUUAACAACCCAGACUGCUCUACAGUGAGCUAGAUUUGCACAAGCAAGGGGGCAAAAAAAAAAAAAAAAAAAAAAGAAUAUUUAAAGUUCUGUUUUCUGUGUUACAGAGAAGUUCCAGAAUCACUCUCCUUUGUAAUGUAAAGACAGUAGCAUGAUCACCAGGCAUGUGGUCCUGACCUCAGACUGAGGAUCCUUGGCCUAGAGUCAAGCAGUCCCUGCAGUCACUGAAACAGCCAAAUUAACUGUCUGUUUAGCCAUGGAUUAAAAUUCAUCCACUGAUCCAAGACACAAAGGAAUUGAGAAGACGACAUGAUCAGCAGUUAGGAAAAGCAUCUGUGGAGAUGAUGGUUGUUAUUACUGUUGAGUGAACGUUAUACUUAUGGAACAGAUGCUCACGUGAUAUCCUAAAACAAGAGUGGUUUGGAAGAAGAGCUGACUACAGCACGUGAGAAAGUACACAUCAGCCAGACACAAAGAUGAAGUCUGCUUCCAACUUGAAGCUCAUAGCCUCUAAAUCCAGCUGAAAGCUCUUCUCCUUAAGACAGUUUUGACUAGGUGCUUCCAGGGAAAAGAGAGAAAACCAAAUGACCCAAACGAAGGUUUCUCUGCAGAGGCCGUCUCAGGGUGGGGAGUAAGAGGCAGAGGAAGGGAAAGGAAGAAGUGGGAAAAGACUGCAUUUGCACCUCUCUGCUUGCUGACAGAAGGAUCUGACCAGGCACAUGGGAAUGGAAUUCACUGAAGACAAGGAUUUUUCACCUCAGAGCCAAGGAUGAAAUGGAAAGUCAAGCAUGCAAGAACUGAGCAAGACAAGACAGAAUAAUUAUUCACAAAUGGACAGAAGAACAUUCCAGGAUUCAUUUUCCAACUUGUGUGGAAUUGGA